RNAcentral lists this ribosomal RNA (498 nucleotides) under uncultured bacterium. Its description in RNAcentral is "partial 16S ribosomal RNA". It matches the Rfam family "Bacterial small subunit ribosomal RNA", at positions 30 to 523 of the family's 1533-position model. The record is from RNAcentral.
AUUGAACGCUGGCGGCAUGCCUUACACAUGCAAGUCGAACGGUAACAGGUCUUCGGAUGCUGACGAGUGGCGAACGGGUGAGUAAUACAUCGGAACGUGCCUAGUAGUGGGGGAUAACUACUCGAAAGAGUGGCUAAUACCGCAUGAGGUCUACGGAUGAAAGCAGGGGAUCGCAAGACCUUGUGCUACUAGAGCGGCCGAUAUCAGAUUAGCUAGUUGGUGGGGUAAAGGCCUACCAAGGCGACGAUCUGUAGUUGGUCCGAGAGGACGACCAGCCACACUGGGACUGAGACACGGCACAGACUCCUACGGGAGGCAGCAGCGGGGAAUUUUGGACAAUGGGCGAAAGCCUGAUUCAGCAAUGCCGCGUGCAGGAUGAAGGCCUUCGGGUUGUAAGCUGCUUUUGUACGGAACGAAAAGCCCUGGGUUAAUACCCUGGGGUCAUGACGGUACCGUAAGAAUAAGCACCGGCUAACUACGUGCCAGCCGCCGCCGUAA